RNAcentral lists this ribosomal RNA (372 nucleotides) under Panthera onca (jaguar). RNAcentral's name for it is "partial large subunit ribosomal RNA". It matches the Rfam family "Bacterial large subunit ribosomal RNA", at positions 1990 to 2536 of the family's 2925-position model. Lineage: Eukaryota; Metazoa; Chordata; Mammalia; Carnivora; Felidae. The record is from RNAcentral.
GUAUGAAUGGCCACACGAGGGCUUUACUGUCUCUUACUUCCAAUCCGUGAAAUUGACCUGCCCGUGAAGAGGCGGGAAUACAUCAAUAAGACGAGAAGACCCUAUGGAGCUUUAAUUAACCGACCCAAAGAGACCUUUAAUUUCCACCGAACGGGAACAACAACCUCUGCUAUGGGCCGACAAUUUAGGUUGGGGUGACCUCGGAGAAUAAAACAACCUCCGAGUGAUUUAAAUCUAGACUAACCAGUCGAAAGUAUUACAUCACUUAUUGAUCCAAAAGCUUGAUCAACGGAACAAGUUACCCUAGGGAUAACAGCGCAAUCCUAUUUUAGAGUCCAUAUCGACAAUAGGGUUUACGACCUCGAUGUUGAA